UUUUUUUUUUUUUUCCUAUUACAAUAAAUUUUUGCCAAGCGCUGUGGCUCACGCCUUUAAUCCCAGCACUUUGGGAAGCUGAGCAGGGCGGAUCACCUGAGUACAGGAGUUCGAGACCAGUCUGGCCAAUAUGGGUGAAACCCUGUCUCGAUUAAAAAUAACACAAAUUAGCUAGGCAUGGUGGUGGCGCCUGUAAUCCCAGCUACUUGGGAGGCUGAGGCAGGAGAAUCGCUUGAAUCUGGGAGGAGGAGGUUGCAGUGAGCCGAGACUGUGCUACUGCGCUUCAGACUGGGUGACAGAGUGAGACUCCAUUUCAAAAAAACAAAAAUAACAAAAAAUAAAUUCCUGAGAAAGAAAAUAGUUUCUUUUUUUAAUAUAUUUUUUCUGUUUUUUUUUUUUUUAACUUCUUUCCUAAUUACUUACAAGGAAAGAAAAGAAGGCAGCCCUCCCUCUCAAUCUCUUAGUUCUUUUGCUUAGAAGACAAAAGAUCCUUCAGAAUUAGAGAGGAAGAGGGGAAAAGGGAAAAAAAAAAGAUUCCAGUUAAAAAUCUUAAAAAUCUUCAUCAGGGUCAAAAACCUGACAGAAAAGCUUUGUUUGAAGGGAAUGUGAAAGGGGAGGAGGAGGGAACUGGCAACCGGCAACUCUCAACCUCAAAAGGCAAAUAUCUUGAGAGUUGAAGGAAAUCUGGAGAUAGUGAACACUCCCAUUGAAGUAGUGGAAUAACUUUGAUUUCCUUUUUAGCCAGAGAGUCUUGUCCUUUUGAGGCUGGUGGAAUAUGCUGAGAGGAAGAAUUGGGGGGGUGGGAAGCAUGGGGAAGCAGGAAACUGCCAUUUUAAUUUCACCCUGGGUCAGAAUGGUCAGGAGUUAGGAUGACUGCAAAGAAGCUGUAGGCCUGAAGCCUCAGGCCUUGGUGUGCCAGCAUCUCAGGUCCCAGCCUAAUAUUUCCCAGAAAGGGAACCAAGCAGAGAGUAGGCAGAGUCAGGGUGCAGGGGAAGGGCCAUGGGAACUGAUGUAAAGAGCUGGUGAUGGUGAAGCUGGUGAAGCCCCAGGAGAGACCUGUGGGAAGGUAGGAGGCAGCUGGCAGCAUAGCCAUGGAGCCAGGAGACAUCAGAGUGUGAGAUGGUGCCAACCUGGGAAUGCAGUGUGGCGUGUAGGGAAGCAAGGUUCUAACUGGUCAGCUGCUCUAGGACUUUGAGCAGAAAAGACUCAGAGAUGUCCCUUGAUUGAAGGAAGGGUGAAAGCAAAAAGUAGCAUGAAGCAUUAUUGAAAGGGUGUCAAGAAUGGGACUGCUAGAAUGAGGAAGAAAACAUAAAACUGGAAACCCAGACAAGGAGGAACCCUGGAAAAAGAGGGGAAGGGGAAAGAGGAGGCCUCCUUCCCUGGAGGCCAUCUGAUGAGGGUCG
RNAcentral lists this long non-coding RNA (1403 nucleotides) under Macaca fascicularis (crab-eating macaque). Its description in RNAcentral is "lncRNA (ENSMFAG00000057287.1)". The record is from RNAcentral. Lineage: Eukaryota; Metazoa; Chordata; Mammalia; Primates; Cercopithecidae.